This 253-nucleotide ribosomal RNA is filed under the name uncultured bacterium. RNAcentral's name for it is "partial 16S ribosomal RNA". It matches the Rfam family "Bacterial small subunit ribosomal RNA", at positions 524 to 776 of the family's 1533-position model. The record is from RNAcentral.
UACAGAGGUGGCAAGCGUUGUUCGGAAUUACUGGGCGUAAAGGGCGCGUAGGCGGCCCGCUAAGUCCCGUGUGAAAUCCCUCGGCUCAACUGAGGAACUGCACGGGAAACUGAUGGGCUUGAGUUCGGGAGAGGGAAGUGGAAUUCCGGGUGUAGCGGUGAAAUGCGCAGAUAUCCGGAGGAACACCGGUGGCGAAGGCGGCUUCCUGGACCGACACUGACGCUGAGGCGCGAAAGCUAGGGGAGCAAACGGG